RNAcentral lists this small RNA (33 nucleotides) under Bombyx mori (domestic silkworm). Its description in RNAcentral is "ovarian small RNA-31901". Lineage: Eukaryota; Metazoa; Arthropoda; Insecta; Lepidoptera; Bombycidae. The record is from RNAcentral.
UGACUAUGGUAACACUAGGCUGUUCGUCAGCCU